Long non-coding RNA from Patella vulgata (common limpet), 2687 nucleotides. RefSeq lists it as uncharacterized. Lineage: Eukaryota; Metazoa; Mollusca; Gastropoda; Patellidae. The record is from RefSeq and is a predicted model, not a curated record. The transcript has 8 exons.
UUAACCUGCAGAUGAACUAAACACCAAAGCUGAUACGCCAGUUCCAUAUUAAGGCAAAUGUGGACUAAAUGUAUUAAAGUUUUCAAAAGAUAGUUUAACUCAAAAGGCGGGAUAAGUUUAAAACUUAAAAACCCUUGUUUUCGGAUUGAUAGAUGCUAUUAAAAUCGGCAGAGAAACCAUACUGAAAUAGUAUUGCGGGUUGGUUCUAAAUUUCAAAUGGUAGCAUAUUUCGAUAGUGUUCAUUUUGAUUUCGAGAAUAUAAUUUAGCAAAUUAUCUUGAGAUAUUAUGUUGUAUUGUAGAGUUUUACAGAAGUUUCUGUUCUAAAGUGCGGAUAUGUUGGCUAUAAUUUUAACAGCAUUGGUCCUUCAAGAAAAGAUACAAUGGUCAUUUCAACAAGAUUUUAAAAGCAAUAUUAUCAAUGAUACGAGAUUUGGGGAUAUAAAGGAUGGCAAGAUAUAUUCGCCGAAUAGAAGAUAUCGAAGAGAAAGUGGAAAUUCCCUGCAACUCGAAACCGUAUCUACUGUAUGUGUAAAGUUGGAUGCGUGUUUAGAUGACUUAAAAACAGUUAUAACAGGCACAGACCUGCAACUAUUCGGAACAUCUUGCAUACCUAUAGUAAACCAACUGAUGUGUAUGCAUAAUGUCAUUGAGACGUCUGCAAUUUGCUUAGACUUAAGAUUCUAUUUUCAGGCAUCUUAUAAACUAGACAUGAUGUCUAUACAAUUAAAACUAUUCUGUAGAAAAUAUGAAGCAGUUGCUAACUGUACGGAAAUGAACCAGUGUACACAGCACAUCAAGUUUCCAUUGCGUACACCGUACCUUGCUGAACCACAAUACUGGUGUGCAUUGUUGAAAACGGCCAUAGCUUGUGUUGAAGCAUAUAAAAGUACCUGUGAUAAUUCUGGUUUGGAUUUGACAAAUAUGAAGUUCACAGUUGACACGCUUUGUCCUAACGCGGUUGAUGUGUCAGUUGUGGUUUAUGAAGGAAAUGGUUCAACGACAAAGAUGGCGUCGAUUGGUCUUUUGGCGAUGUCCUUAAUGUUACGUUUGGCAGUGUCUUAAGUUUGCUUUAAAAUCGGAAUAGGACCAAAACACUUUAUGUUGGAUUAAAUUAUAAAAUUAUUUUAUUACCUUAACAUUAAUAAUAUUUAUCAAUUUCGCUUAUUAUCUAGUUAUUGAACUGAGUCCCAUAAUCCUUCCAAAAAUAACCCCGUAUUUGUUCUAAAUCAGCAACCAAAUACUGUCCAAUUGACAUUAAGUUUAAUUAGUGUAUCUUUGCCGCCCGGUUUUAACCUUUUCCCCAAAACUAAGAGGGGGAUUGGAUGGCUGAAUAGUUAGCGUCCUCGCGCUGUAUCAUGAAGUCUGUCAUUGAGUCGACUGGCGUGGUUUCGAAUCCCCGGUUGUACGUGACAAGGAGUAGGGUCGCCUGUCUAACCUCGUGGGUUUUCUUCGGGUCCUCCGGUUUCCUCCCACUGCUAAAGACCCCUAUGCGCAAGCGAAUUAUUGAAAUAAAAUUAGAAAAUAUGUUAGUCCCGAAAUGACCUAGUUUGUGUCGAGUGGACGUUAAACCCCAUUUCUCUCUCUCUCUCUCUCUCUCUCUCAAAACUAAGUUCGACUAAAAGCUCUCUAACGCAGACGGGGCAACAUCUGUCAAGCGCCUACUAGUAAAAAUGCAACUCUCCGCCGUGAAUAGCACUUCAGAUCAACCCAAAACUAGCAGACCACGAUGGUCCAGUGAGUAAUUCGUGGAGAUACUAACAGUGCUGAGUGUCGGAGUGCCUCUCAAGGACAAGGAUAUCUAGUCGGAUAUGGGACGAAAUUCCGAGGUCUCGUGUGCAGUUGUCUCUUGUCCCUUCAUAGUUGGAAUUCUAAAUAAGAAAAAAGGACGUAGCGUCCCUCCACACAAACAUUUCAUAGCACACACAAAAUCAUACAACAUUUAUUAAAUAUUGUUACUUUCAAAUAAGAUAAUUAAAAACUUUCAAUGUUUUAUCACGUUAUUUAGUUUCUGGUGUAGAGCACGAUGCAUUAUACUUUUCUGAUAUUUACUGCAUUAUUGUAUUACAAUCUUAAAUAUAGUUUUUAUUUAUCUCAGCUAUAACACAUUUUGCAUUGAAAAUGUAAUAAAAUUGCUAUGCUUAACUACAAUUACAAUCAUUAUAUUACUUUUGACAAAAACUAAAGCGGUUUAGCACAAGCUUUGCACAAGCAAAAUCAUAUAAUUGUUUAUAUAUAUACAAUCAUAAGAUGUUUACGAGAUGCUUAGUUGCAUUGCUUUCAAAGUUUACGAAUAUAAUAAUAAGAUACUGGUGCCGAGCAUUAUGCAUGUUAUUUAUUUUAUAAUGUAUUUAAGGGUUUAUGAGGGGUGGGGUUUCGAUUCCCCGGUUGUACGCGACAAGGAGUAGGGUCGCCUGUCCAACCUCGUGGGUUUUCUCCGGGUCCCCUGGUUUCCUCCCAUUGCUAAAGACCCCUACGCGCAAGCGAAUUAUUGAAAUAAAAUUGAACCAUGCGCUAGUCCCGAAAUGACCUAGUUUGUGUUGAGUGGACGUUAAACCCCAUUUCUCUCUCUAUUUGAUGGUUUCACAUAGACGAUGUCGUGCAUUAUUGUAUUACAAUCAUAAAAUAUAUUUUAUCUCAGCUAUUACGUAUAUUUGCAUUUGUUUUGUAUUAAAAAUGUAACAAAAUC